This 465-nucleotide ribosomal RNA is filed under the name uncultured bacterium. RNAcentral's name for it is "bacterial SSU rRNA". It matches the Rfam family "Bacterial small subunit ribosomal RNA", at positions 338 to 795 of the family's 1533-position model. The record is from RNAcentral.
CCUACGGGUGGCAGCAGUGGGGAAUAUUGGACAAUGGGCGCAAGCCUGAUCCAGCAAUGCCGCGUGUGUGAAGAAGGCCUGCGGGUUGUAAAGCACUUUCGGUGGGGAGAAAGAGGCCAUUACUAAUACUAAUGGCGGAUGAUGUUACCCACAGAAGAAGCACCGGCUAACUCUGUGCCAGCAGCCGCGGUAAUACAGAGGGUGCGAGCGUUAAUCGGAAUUACUGGGCGUAAAGGGUGCGUAGGUGGUUACUUAAGUUAGGUGUGAAAGUCCUGGGCUUAACCUGGGGAUUGCGCCUGAUACUGAAUAGCUAGAGUAUUGUAGAGGAAAGCGGAAUUUCCGGUGUAGCGGUGAAAUGCGUAGAUAUCGGAAGGAACAUCGGUGGCGAAGGCGGCUUUCUGGACAAAUACUGACACUGAGGCACGAAAGCAUGGGGAGCAAACAGGAUUAGAUACCCUUGUAGUC